AGAGCGAACGCUGGCGGCAGGCCUAACACAUGCAAGUCGAACGCACCUUCGGGUGAGUGGCGGACGGGUGAGUAACACGUGGGAACGUACCUUUUGGUUCGGAAUAACGCAGGGAAACUUGCGCUAAUACCGAAUGUGCUCCGUAAGGAGGAAAGAUUUAUCGCCAUUAGAGCGGCCCGCGUUAGAUUAGCUAGUUGGUGAGGUAAAGGCUCACCAAGGCUACGAUCUAUAGCUGGUCUGAGAGGAUGAUCAGCCACAUUGGGACUGAGACACGGCCCAAACUCCUACGGGAGGCAGCAGUGGGGAAUCUUGCGCAAUGGGCGAAAGCCUGACGCAGCCAUGCCGCGUGAAUGAUGAAGGUCUUAGGAUUGUAAAAUUCUUUCAGUAGGGACGAUAAUGACGGUACCUACAGAAGAAGCCCCGGCUAACUUCGUGUCAGCAGCCGC
Molecule: ribosomal RNA, 446 nt
Filed under: uncultured bacterium
Lineage: Bacteria
Description: SSU rRNA
Rfam family: Bacterial small subunit ribosomal RNA
Source: RNAcentral